GGGGCGGGGGGGGAGUGCCUGACAAUAGUUUACUCCGGAAACUCCUGUUUGAAUGCUAGGCUACCUAUAUCUGUAGACCCCAGAGGGCAGCCAUUAAAUAAUUAGGCACUUAGGGAUGGAGAAUUGUCUCAAAGACCAAACAACAAGUUACUUAAGACUCUUCUGGCAGACCAGAGGACCUUGAGGAUUGAGGAGACCUCUCGUCCUAUCUUGAAUUGUUCCAAAGGACGGAAGGAGGACUGGAUCCGGGCUCUGGCUUGCCUCAUUGCCCCCAAACACAUUCCCAGAAACGCUCCCCAGGGCCGAACCAAGAACUCAAGUGUCUAACCCACAGCGUCAGCUCUCAGGUUCAAGUUCAAGUCCUCCGGCGUACAUCGGGGCUUCCUUGUCUGCUGUUAAAUUUUAUGUGGAAAUGAAGCCGAAAAUAAUGUCCUGAGAUGUGGAUGAAGAGUGCUGUAACGAAACAUUGUACCAAAACGAAGACUGUGCUGUACGCGCCCCUCAGACAACUACUCUCCUGCAGGCGAGGAUUGUCACCCGGGGGGAGUGUGGCAGGAGUGCCGUCACAGUGGCAGAAGGAGAAGGAGAGAGAAAACGAAACCUGGGAAAUUGCCCGCGCUCACUUUUUCUCCUCCCCGGACCUGAGUUCAAGAGCCUGUCUCGGAGUCGGGCAGUCUCCGGUUGGGAAGGCCCUCGAUCAUGACUUUUUCGUCCCGACCUGUGCAGAUCCCCCACCUCUACCCAUCUCCAGCUGACACGUUUGCUCUGAGAAGGGAUUGGUGAAUAUCGCCCUCUCCCGGAUCUCCGGAAAUUCUCCCCAGCGCGCUGCAUCCGCUUCUUCCCAAGCUCGGAGCGCCGCACACGCAGCGGGGCGGGACCUUCAGCUCAGGGCGACGGUGUCCUCGGUCCCCUCCCCGAGGGCCGAGGCCUCCAGAGCCCCAGAUCCGGGACCCAGGCCCUGAGCCGGAUCUGAGGAGCGCACUGGGCCCGAGCCCCUGCUGGAGCCCGGAGCUCGGCCGGGGAGAGAGCUCAGCCACACGCGCCCCCGGCUAUGGCCCGGACCCCGCUCGGCUCUGCCGCUGAGUCCGCGCGCGGGGGAAAGCCCGCAGACCUUCCAGGACUUGCGGAUUGCCAGCCCCGAAUCCCUAAAGAGCUCGGCCCCGAGAGUCUCCUUGUGGUGUUUGGUGGCCGCCGCGAGCGGGCUUGGCGUCCCCCACGGCAGAGGGGAGGUCGAGGGGGAACUGGUUCCCGGUUCACCCUUCAUCUCCUACCAGUCACCAGCCGAGGCCCUGCCCCGUGCUCGCAUGGAGGCACCGAGAUAGCCCUGGCCCAGCAAAUGGCUCCUGGGUCGUCCUGGCGGGAGCGGGCCCAGGGCGAGGCGCGCAGGUGAGGUGCCAGGCUCGGGGCGCCCAGCCAGCGGCGCUUGGGGGCACCGGCUCGCUCCACCUGGCGUCCGCGCGGCCGGAGUGCCGCUGCGGCAGGCGGGCAGCGGCGGCGCAGCGACGGGCUGUGGCGCCACCUCCCGAGAAGACCUAGCAGGAAGCGCGGCUCCGCAGGUGGCCCGCGGCGCGCGCCUUCCGGGUGGCCGGAGUGCCCCUCGGCCAGCGAUUUGCCCUCUCAACGCCCCGAAACACCUCCAGAAAUGCCUGUGGCAGCAAUUACUACGCCGAUGGUCGCUGUCCUCCCCAAGUGAUGAAAGGGAGGUCCUAGCACCCCAGGAAGAUCUUGUGCCCCUGCCUGGGGAAGGCGAAAAGGCUGCAGCGGCCCUGGGACGCGAUGGCCUUGUGUCGGCUAUCAAGGGAUCUCGGACCCCCCUCACGUACGUGAAAACCGGUCCCCAAGAGUCCAGCAAGGAGAAGUAGGAGGAGGUGACUGGAGGGGAGAGGUGUUUGUGGCCCCCAAGGUAGGCUCCAGGUUGCAGUGGAGUCAAGCCGUCGGCAAGGGAUCCAGCUCUGCUCCUCAGACUCGAGCAGAGCAGCCUGUCUGCGGCCACCUCCACUCCCUCUCCGAGGACGCACCCGGCCACUCUCUGCACCACCGCGGGCGAUAGACAGAUUGUCCCCUCCGUUCCUGCCAACCAGUGUCCUCAAAUACAAUUAGCCUCUUUAGAAGUUACGGAGAGGGAGGCCACAAGACAAGUGGAUUCUCCAGCCAAGCUGAAACCCUCUCUGUGCCCUUCAAUGUGAAAUGUGGAAAACGCCCAAGAAGCAAGGCCCGGAUGCGAGGCAUCAGCUCUCCCUCGGAGCUCUCCUCCACAGGGAGCUGGAGGGUUGUGGUGGAUUUGGCUCCAGGCUUCAUCCCUUGAACCUUUCCUGCCACUCUUUUCAGAGGCCUCACUUCCUGGGCCUAAGUGGAAGCCACAAACCAUAAGCUCUUGCAAGCCCCUCACCACCCAGACCACAUCUCCCCGGACUUACUAUGUGUUGCUGCUUCCAGCUAUGUGACUUUACUCACACUAAUUCCCAGAAGACCAAGCAUUCGUACGGAUAACAUGAAAGGGUGUGGACGUGGACCAGGCACAUGGAACUCAGCCCUCUGGACACACGGGAAGCUUUUAAGAAGACACAGCACCCAAGCUCUAUCUUCAAGGGUGAGGAGUAUGCCAGACAUAAGACCUGAGAGGACAGCGGUCUACACAGAGGGAACAUCCUGGAGGGAAUGGCACACAGCAGAGGUGAGCCUCGGGCUCUGGCACCUUCGGAGACUUGUGACCUUGGGACAGUUACUUAACUACUCUGUACCUCAGAUUCCUCAUGCAUAAAAAUACUACUAAAAUAAACUACUUUAUAGGGCUGUGCAGAAUAACUAAGAUAACACAGCUAAAGUGCUUACAAACCGUUUGGUACAUCAUAAAGAUGUCAGAUACCACCAUCAUCAUCAUCAUCUCAGCUGAAGCACUGAGUUCCGAGGAGGAAGUGGUGGGACAUGUAGGGUUGGCAGAGCAUCAGUGCAUGCAGGCCCCUACAACAUUCUGAGGAGGAUGCACUCUCGCCUGACAGCCACAAUUUCCUUCGAGGUGUUUGGAGUUUUGGAGUCAACAUCUAGAGGCAAGAGGCUGAACUGAUAAUCCGCUCACAUUCCUUCCAGCCCCAAGACGAGACCUGAUUCCCACCUGAGAGCCAACAAACCCAGUCUCAGGCUCGAGCUCAGUCUUCCUAACACGACACCUGCCACGUUGCUUUGUGUCAAUAACCCAAGACAGCCAUCUCCCCUGCCCUCCGGAACUGUUAAAGCUUCACCCCUACCCAGUGGGAAUAAUUUAUUUAAUAAUAUCAUGCUAUUUCGUUAGAGAAUAAAUUCCUGGGAAAUGGGAGGAUAUAAAAAGACUCCCAGCCAAAAGGAAAAGACCUUGGGAAUUUUCACCACUGUGGGGCUUGGUUUUAGGGGAAGAGAAUGUGAAACAGGAUGGACCGAUUUUGUCCAGAGAAUACAGACUCUCUGCCCACUUCUCCUCUUUUCUCUUGCAGCUUAAAAUAAAGCAGCACAGAGACAGCUGUGGUCCAGCUGCCCGCCCUGUCGGUGGCAAUCGCCUCCCUGGUCAGGUUCAUCUCUGAACACCUGGUUGGGACAUGAGGGGGCCCACUGAUAAGCGUCUUCAAGGGAUGAUCUGUUCUUUCCCUCCUGAUCAAGGCAGGUCUCCAAGUUCUUAACCCUGUCACUUGGCAGUGCAUCCUCCUAGGACCCAGAAGUCACUGAGCAGAAGUGCAGCAACGUGGCAAAACCAACAGAGCUGAAGCGGCACAGAACAUUCCUGGACAGGUCUGCGAGGGUGGGGCAGCCAGGAAGUGACAGCAUGAAGCCAAGCACACUGG
Molecule: long non-coding RNA, 3812 nt
Filed under: Equus caballus (horse)
Lineage: Eukaryota; Metazoa; Chordata; Mammalia; Perissodactyla; Equidae
Description: lncRNA (ENSECAG00000038147.3)
Source: RNAcentral